GACGAACGCUGGCGGCGUGCCUAAUACAUGCAAGUAGAACGCUGAAGCUUGGUGCUUGCACCGAGCGGAUGAGUUGCGAACGGGUGAGUAACGCGUAGGUAACCUGCCUGGUAGCGGGGGAUAACUAUUGGAAACGAUAGCUAAUAACGCAUAAGAGUAGAUGUUGCAUGACAUUUGCUUAAAAGGUGCAAUUGCAUCACUACCAGAUGGACCUGCGUUGUAUUAGCUAGUUGGUGAGGUAACGGCUCACCAAGGCAACGAUACAUAGCCGACCUGAGAGGGUGAUCGGCCACACUGGGACUGAGACACGGCCCAGACUCCUACGGGAGGCAGCAGUAGGGAAUCUUCGGCAAUGGACGGAAGUCUGACCGAGCAACGCCGCGUGAGUGAAGAAGGUUGUCGGAUCGUAAAGCUCUGUUGUAAGAGAAGAACGAGUGUGAGAGUGGAAAGUUCACACUGUGACGGUAUCUUACCAGAAAGGGACGGCUAACUACGUG
This 497-nucleotide ribosomal RNA is filed under the name uncultured bacterium. Its description in RNAcentral is "partial 16S ribosomal RNA". It matches the Rfam family "Bacterial small subunit ribosomal RNA", at positions 28 to 507 of the family's 1533-position model. The record is from RNAcentral.